AUGCUACCCCUCCCUGAACACCCCAUACACCUGAGUCUACAGGAUACAGAGGGGAUUCUUCUCACUGGUGGGGUCCCACCUACUACAGAAGGAGCUGAGUGUGUAGACAACUCCCUGCCACUGCUGCUGCUAUUGCUGUUGUUGCUGCCUCUGCCUCCCACAUUGGAUCAGACACUGACUGGGGAUCCUUGCAAGCCAUUUAAUGCAUGGAUGGAAAUACUAUCACACCUGCCACACAGUGGCUUGGAGGACUUCCUGUAUUUUUUACGAAACUCAGUUGCAAGAUGGUGCUACAUUGGAAAAUGGGACACCGAGAUCUAUUCCAGUAGAGCCUGCUCCACAGCUUCAUGUUGGCUUCUACAUAAGGCAGAUGCUUUCUUCAUCUCUCUUAACUGUGUGCAUAUAGUUAUGACUUCUAUGAUGGUAGAGGAAAAGUGGACAUUCUGAAUUUACCUGUAAGACAUAAUUGCAAUGGAAGACUGUGGAAAGAUAUGGUAAUGUUCAAAAGAAGACAAAAUCAACUCAUUUUAAUAUGUCAAGACAAAUCUUAAGUAAAUUUUUUUUUGUGAAAUUGGCAUUUAAAGAUUAUUUUUAUUCCACCUAUAAUCCAAUGUACCAAUAUCUCUAAAAUCCAGUGGGGCUUAUGGAUAUUUAAAGAGUACUAGUAAUUCUGGUGUGAUGGCUUGGUGAGGUUUUUUCAGAGUUGCACAUUAAUUUUGUGGUGUCCACCUCACACUCAACUCUCACCCAGGCCUCUAAUAAGUUGUAGUAUGAACUUUAAUCUUAUUCCAACAAACCAUCUUAUCAGAUGAUCUAAACCAAGUUGAGGGUAAUCAAUAAUCCACAAAUCCACUGGUGAGUUACAGGAGUAUCUACCUCAAAUAUGUGAAGAUUUCUCCCAGCAAAGCGAUCAGAUUAGAGCAAUUUUUUCCAAUGGCAUUGAAGAUGGUUGAAGCACUUAGAGCUUGGUCAGAUAUUAAAGAUGCCAACAUUAUCCAUUGUAUCAUGAGCCAUCAUCACUAGGUAUCCAGUCUUUUGCCUUAACAUUGGACUUCAAUGAUUCUGUAAGGGAAAGUAAGCUGAUAAUUUUGUACAGCUCUGCCUCACUUAAAUCCAAUUUAUAAUUAAGUCAAGACAUUGUCCUGUGAUAUAAUUAGUCUUCUUUGAAAAUAAUGAACAAAGUCCAAUAUGCAGAAAUAGUAUGGUAAUGUGGAAAGUGUUGGACUUGGAGUAAGGAAGACUUUGGUUAGAAUCGCACAUCAGAGAUUUAGGGAUUCCUGAUUCCUUAGAAAAAGGGCUCAGAAUGUAGCAAUUAAGGAGCCCAUUCCUAGUGAAAGAAAAAAAAUGGUGUAUCUUAAUGGCAAGGUUGGUCGGAGUGAAAUUCCUUUAUCUUAGCUUAGUGCAAGGAUGUCCAUUUUAUUCCUUAAAAAAUCCAGCCCAGAUACAA
This 1447-nucleotide long non-coding RNA is filed under the name Monodelphis domestica (gray short-tailed opossum). RNAcentral's name for it is "lncRNA (ENSMODG00000051027.1)". The record is from RNAcentral. Lineage: Eukaryota; Metazoa; Chordata; Mammalia; Didelphimorphia; Didelphidae.